AUUUCCCUCACUUCUCAAAUAUUUCUCUCCACUUAAGAAGAAGAAGAACUUGGGGCUAGGGCUUGGAUUCAAGGCUUUCUUCAUCAAAUUCUUGCAAGAUCAUAGCAAAGGUAUGGUGAUCCUUCAUCUAGGGUUAGCUUUCACCCUAGAGUCCAUUCAAGUUAGUUUUCAAAGGUUUCAAGUUCUUCAAAAUCUAGGUUUUCACUCUAACUCAUGGGUUCCUUCUUCAAACGUUUUCAAAUGGUUAUUAAUGACUUAUUAUGAUUGUAUUAGUGUUUAAAUGAUGAUUUAUGACGAAAAUACUCCAUGAACCCAUGAUUUCUCUCUAUUCCUAGUUUAUGCCUUUAUAAAGUGGGUUGCUUGAUAAUGAAUGUAUAUGAAUCGAACUUGUUUAAAUGUCUUUAGAUUGUUGAAGUAUGUCAUUACUCAUGCUUAGUUUAUGGUGUAUUGUUGGUGUAUUGGUAUGAGAGGCUUAUGGCCUUAAAGGCAAAGUAUGAGAAAUUGAAGUGUUAUCAUGACAUUGUAUGAAUGAGAGUUCAAUGAAGAUAAUGUGAUCAUGUUAUGAAUGUAAAGGUGUUGUUGUAGGUUGUUCACUGGUUUGGUUGCAUAAUUACUACCCUAUUUUCCAUGCUCUUUGAUUCCAUUACAUGCCUUCAAGGUGUUUGACAAAAUGUCCAACUAUGGAGAAUUGAUGAAUCGAUGCUUUAAAGUUUGAGUUAUGAGAUGUAUGGAAAUCCAGAGAUGUGUUGAUGACACUCAUGAAUGUUGAUGAUAUAAUAUGAAGGAUUCUUCAAUAUAAAGUAUACCUUGAAUUGGUAGGGCUUAUGCAUCAUUUUCUUGUAUAAAUGAUUAUAUUGUUGAUUGUUGAAUCCUUGGAUCGGUAGGCUUAUGGCACCCUUCCACACAUGCUUAUAAUGAACCUUGGAUCGGUAGGCUAAUGGCACCCUUCCAUUAAUGAUAAGUAAUGAACCUUGGAUUCGGUAGGCCUAUGGCACCUUUCCAUAAAGGUUAAUGAUGAGACUUGAAUCGGCAGGCCCAUGGCACCCUUUCAAGAGGAGUUAAUGAGCUUUCCUAAAUGUACCUUGAAUCGGUAGGCUUAUGGCACCCUUUCAUGUGUGAUGAUGUCAAAGUAAUGAACUAUUCUAUGGGAAUGUAGGCUAAGCACCGAGCGGAUUUGGUUAGAUGGAAACUCCCCCGACAGUUAGGCAUGAGUUUCAAUGAUCGUCUACCUUAUCCCAUAAACUAUGUGCCCGCAUAGGAAGCUAGUGGAUCCAUUAAGCUAUAUAUACCGGUCUUCCUUAGGCAAGUAGACCACCUCUUUUCGGUGUGGGGACUCAUGACACCGGAUUCCAUGACAAGCUCUCAUGGUCUAUGUCGGUUAAACGCUUACUUCUCAUCAUGUGAGAUUUCAUUAUGGUUUCUUGACAGGUUCUACAAAGUGUAGGUAGUAGUAUGGGAUGCUACCUAUACAUUGCACGAGUAGGCUUGGAGAGGGUCAUAGUGAGUUUCUCUAAAUCCUAAUGACUGUGACAUGAAUGUACCCUAAAUGAGGUUAUUAAAGAAUGUUGGCUCUUAAAUGCUUAAUAUGUUAUGCAUGUUAUACUUGGGUUAUAUUACGAGUUAUUUUCCCUUGUCAUGUCUUAAUUAAUGAUAUACCUCUUAUGUAUGAAUAUUGUGCAAAGGUGAAAGAAAGGAAUGAUAAGUUACUUUAAGUGACCUAAAUGUGGUGCCUUAGUAUGGAUGGUGGUAUGGGACGCCAUCCAUACAUUGCACGAGGUAUAUCAUAAGGGUUUCUUGAGGUGAAGGUCCAAGGUAAAGGUUUUCAUGUUGAUAUUGUUUAAAGGUGAUAUUAUGACUUACUUGAUGUUAUGCUUGUCUUGUAUGUCUUUUAUGCUAUUGUUCAUGAUAUUUCAAAAAGGUGGCAUAAUGCAUGGUUUCUAACUAAAAUGUCCCUUUUUAAGCAUGUUUUGCAUGGUCAUCAUACUUAGUACAUUUUUGUGUACUAACCCAUAUUCUUCAUAUUUUUACUAUAAGUGUAGGUUCCGGCAAGUGAUCCCUCUUAGCUAGUUUGAAGUGUUGGAUUGCUUUCCUCCAAGACUUGGUAUGUCCUCAUGGAUUCGAGGACAAGACUUUUAAGUUCUUUUGUUCAUGUAAUAGACUUAAUAGACUUCUUUUGAUUGUAAAGGGCCGUGUCCCUACUUAUGUUUUGCGACUGUGUCUAAGAUGGCCAUGUGAGACUUAGACUUCCGCUGUGUGUUUUUAAAGUUGUUUUAAGAAGUUUAAAUGUGU
This 2289-nucleotide long non-coding RNA is filed under the name Solanum tuberosum (potato). RNAcentral describes it as "long non-coding RNA (STUB_LNC007149)". Lineage: Eukaryota; Viridiplantae; Streptophyta; Magnoliopsida; Solanales; Solanaceae. The record is from RNAcentral.